UACGUAGGGCGCAAGCGUUGUCCGGAAUUAUUGGGCGUAAAGAGCUCGUAGGCGGUGUGUCGCGUCGGCCGUGAAAACCUGCAGCUUAACUGUGGGCUUGCGGUCGAUACGGGCAUCACUGGAGUUCGGCAGGGGAGACUGGAAUUCCUGGUGUAGCGGUGAAAUGCGCAGAUAUCAGGAGGAACACCGGUGGCGAAGGCGGGUCUCUGGGCCGAUACUGACGCUGAGAAGCGAAAGCGUGGGGAGCGAACAGG
RNAcentral lists this ribosomal RNA (254 nucleotides) under uncultured bacterium. RNAcentral describes it as "partial 16S ribosomal RNA". It matches the Rfam family "Bacterial small subunit ribosomal RNA", at positions 524 to 776 of the family's 1533-position model. The record is from RNAcentral.